UCCCUAGUGGCUUACAGGGUAAAGCAUCUGCCUGCAAUGCAGGAGACCCAGGUUCAAUCCCUUGUUGGGAAG
This 72-nucleotide transfer RNA is filed under the name Ovis aries (sheep). It matches the Rfam family "tRNA". Rfam says of the family: Transfer RNA (tRNA) molecules are approximately 80 nucleotides in length. Their secondary structure includes four short double-helical elements and three loops (D, anti-codon, and T loops). Further hydrogen bonds mediate the characteristic L-shaped molecular structure. tRNAs have two regions of fundamental functional importance: the anti-codon, which is responsible for specific mRNA codon recognition, and the 3' end, to which the tRNAs corresponding amino acid is attached (by aminoacyl-tRNA synthetases). tRNAs cope with the degeneracy of the genetic code in two manners: having more than one tRNA (with a specific anti-codon) for a particular amino acid; and 'wobble' base-pairing, i.e. permitting non-standard base-pairing at the 3rd anti-codon position. The record is from Rfam by way of RNAcentral. Lineage: Eukaryota; Metazoa; Chordata; Mammalia; Artiodactyla; Bovidae.